Molecule: ribosomal RNA, 790 nt
Filed under: Arthrobacter sp. P2H4
Lineage: Bacteria; Bacillati; Actinomycetota; Actinomycetes; Micrococcales; Micrococcaceae
Description: bacterial SSU rRNA
Rfam family: Bacterial small subunit ribosomal RNA
Source: RNAcentral
UGCAAGUCGAACGAUGAACCCCGCUUGCGGGGGGAUUAGUGGCGAACGGGUGAGUAACACGUGAGUAACCUGCCCUUAACUCUGGGAUAAGCCUUGGAAACGGGGUCUAAUACUGGAUAUUGACUUUUCCUCGCAUGGGGAUUGGUUGAAAGAUUUAUUGGUUUUGGAUGGACUCGCGGCCUAUCAGCUUGUUGGUGAGGUAAUGGCUCACCAAGGCGACGACGGGUAGCCGGCCUGAGAGGGUGACCGGCCACACUGGGACUGAGACACGGCCCAGACUCCUACGGGAGGCAGCAGUGGGGAAUAUUGCACAAUGGGCGAAAGCCUGAUGCAGCGACGCCGCGUGAGGGAUGACGGCCUUCGGGUUGUAAACCUCUUUCAGUAGGGAACAAGGCCAGUGUUUAGCUGGUUGAGGGUACUUGCAGAAGAAGCGCCGGCUAACUACGUGCCAGCAGCCGCGGUAAUACGUAGGGCGCAAGCGUUAUCCGGAAUUAUUGGGCGUAAAGAGCUCGUAGGCGGUUUGUCGCGUCUGCCGUGAAAGUCCGGGGCUCAACCCCGGAUCUGCGGUGGGUACGGGCAGACUAGAGUGAUGUAGGGGAGACUGGAAUUCCUGGUGUAGCGGUGAAAUGCGCAGAUAUCAGGAGGAACACCGAUGGCGAAGGCAGGUCUCUGGGCAUUAACUGACGCUGAGGAGCGAAAGCAUGGGGAGCGAACAGGAUUAGAUACCCCUGGUAGUCCAUGCCGUAAACGUUGGGCACUAGGUGUGGGGGACAUUCCACGUUUUCCGCGC